This is a non-coding RNA of Lactuca sativa (garden lettuce), 4590 nucleotides long. The record is from RefSeq and is a predicted model, not a curated record. NCBI's taxonomy places the organism in Eukaryota, Viridiplantae, Streptophyta, Magnoliopsida, Asterales, Asteraceae.
UAAUCAGUGUUAGACCUUAAUUGCUUUGUGUAUCCCAUUUAUGACGAUUUAUGUUGUUAAAAUAAUCUGCACAUGAAGACUCAUCGAUUAAUGGUGACGAGAUUCCAGAUAUUUUGAAAACCACGUAAACUGGAUUACUCUACAAUACGUGAUCACUGAUUACUGAUGCUCAUAGUUAUGCUAAUCCACGCUUUUGCUUCUACGUCUCUUUGAAAUCAAAAAGUCAAAACCCUCUACAAACUGAAUUGCAAUGGCAGAAAUCGUUGUAAGCGCCGCCAUCACCGUCCUGUGUGAGCGGCUGAUCUCUACUGACUUGUUGAAGCUCGCUCGAUCCGAAGGAAUCGAUUCUCAGUUAAACAAAUGGAAGAAAACCUUGCCCUUGAUCCAAGCCGUGCUGGAUGAUGCAAGCCAGAAACAGAUAGCAGACAGAGCUGUUCAAUUGUGGGUGAACGAUCUCCACAAUUUGGCUUACGACAUUGAUGAUGUACUCGAUGAUUUGGCCACCGAAGCCGGUCAACGCAAGUUGAAUCAUGAAUCUCAUGCCAGCACCAGCAGUAAUAAGGUAUUGAAGAUCAUCCCUACUUGUUGUACGAAUUUCACUCCUCGCAACAUUAUGUAUGGUCGUCUGAUGAGUUCUAAGCUCGAUGAGAUUUCCAACAAAUUGCGUGAUCUUGUUGAUCAGAAAAUUAAUCUCGGUUUGAAUGUGAAUGUGAAUGCUGAAAGGCCGAAUAGACUAGAGAGACGAUUAGGGCAAACUUCACUGGUUGAUGAGUCCAAAAUCAUGGGUCGGAAAGGGGAUAAAGAGGCGUUGUUGAAGAAGUUGUUGAGGAAUGAGAGAUUCGAUCAAAAUGUUGGCAUAGUCUCCAUAGUUGGUCUGGGUGGGAUAGGCAAAACCACUCUUGCCAAAGUUGUGUACAACCAUGAGAAAGUGAAAGAUGAGUUUGAAUUCAGGAUAUGGGUUUGUGUUUCUGGUGAGUUUGAUGUUCUUGAUAUUAGUAAGGCGAUUCUUGAAGCUGUAAGUGGGGAGGAAAAAAGAUCUUCCAAUCUAGAUCUGAUUCAUGUGGUCCUCAAAGAAAAACUCCUAAAGAAAAAGUUCCUACUUGUUCUUGAUGAUGUAUGGAAUGAAGAUGAGAGUAAGUGGGAGCUUCUACAAAGCCCUCUUGUUGUAGGGGCACCUGGAAGUAAAAUCAUGGUCACAACUAGGAAUACACGGGUUGUGACCAUGAUGGACUCUGAUGAAGUUUAUCAUCUAGACGUUUUGUCAAAUGAAGAUGCUUUGUCUUUAUUUGCUCAAAAUGCUUUAGGUGAAAAGAACUUUGACAAACAUCCAACACUUAAACUCCAUGGUGAAGGUAUCAUGAAGAAAUGUGGUAGAUUGCCUUUGGCUUUGAAAACACUUGGAAGAGUCUUGAAGACAACAAGAAAUGUUGAUGAAUGGGAGAAGUUGUUGAAUAGUGAGAUAUGGGAUAUAGAGGAUGGAAGUGAGAUUCUUCCAGCUUUAAAACUAAGCUACUAUCACCUCCCUCCACAUUUGAAGCAGUUGUUUGCAUACUGCUCUUUAUUUCCCAAAGACUAUGUAUUUGACAAGAAUGAGUUAGUCCUAUUGUGGAUGGCAGAAGGGUUUUUAUCCCAAUCAAAGGGCAACAAUUCAAUGGAGAAUUUAGGUCAUCAUUAUUUUGAAAAGCUAAAAUCAAGGUCGUUUUUUCAAAAUUCAACUAAUGAUGAAUUAAGAUAUACAAUGCAUGGUCUGAUAAAUGAUUUGGCCACGAGUGUUGCAGGAGAGUUUUUCUUUAGAUUUGAUGAAUUAAGAUACGCAAAUGAAACAUUUAAAAACUUCCGUUUGCAUCACUUUUCAUUUAUAAAUCUACAAUCGUAUGCACAACUCAAGAAAUUAAAAAGCGCUUCUUGCUUGAGAACUUUCUUACCAAUGUCAGGUGGUUUUUUGCAUGAUGUUCUUGAUGAAUUACUUCCUAAACUACAAUAUCUAAGGGUGUUAAGCCUAGCCAAUCAGAUAACCAAAGGGGUACCAAAUUCGGUUGGUAGUCUUAAACAUCUAAGGUACCUAAAUUUUUCUUAUUGUGGAAUCUCCGAUUUACCUGAACAAAUCACUGAUCUUUACAAUCUACAAAGCUUGUUGCUUCGUGGUUGUUUUCGAUUAUCUUGCUUGCCAAAAGGUUUUAUAAAGUUAAUAAACCUUCGACAUCUUGACAUGAGCGAUACUCCAAUGUUGACCAAAAUGCCCUUAGGGAUUGGUGGGUUGAUUAGUCUACAAACUCUAACCAAGGUUAUUAUCGAAGAAACCAAUACGUUCAAAAUAUCUGAGCUUAAGAGGCUAUUGGAUCUUCAAGGUCGACUUUCCAUUAUGGGGCUUGACAAAGUGAUUCAUCCAAUACAAGCAAAGGAUGCGAGCUUACAUCAAAAGAAAGGUCUUGAUGUUUUGGAAUUGGUGUAUAGUGAUGUGUUUGAUGAAUCUCGGAAUGAGAUGAUUGAAUAUGAAGUACUUAAAGAACUAACCCCUCAUCAUAACUUGAAAAAUCUAAAGAUUUUGUUCUUCAUGGGAAUGAGAUUUCCUAGUUGGGUUGGUGAUCCUGUAUUUGAUCAGUUAACAGAGGUUACAUUACGUGGUUGUACUUGUUCACAUUUACCAACACUUGGACAUCUAAAUUCACUUAAGAAGUUAAUUGUUCAAAAGAUGAAUGAACUCAAGACAAUUGGUCUUGAGUUACUUACACCUACUAAUUCUAAUUCUUUCAUUCACAUUGCAUUUCCAUCACUUGAAGUUUUGAAGUUUCUUGACAUGCAAAAUUGGGAGAAAUGGUCAACUUUUGGGGACGAGGACAACAAUGAUGAAAUUUCUAGAUCGUUGUUUCCUCGUCUUCAUAAGAUUUUCAUCAAACAUUGUCCGAAACUAACUCAAGUGUCAAUUGGAUUGAUACCAUCACUUCGAGUUUUACAUAUAAAAGAAUGCUCCGAAAUGGUUUUAAGAAGCAUGGUUGGUGUGUCCACAUCACUUGUUGCAUUGAAAAUGUGGAAGGUUAAAGGACUUACUCAAUUACAUGAAGUUGAUUUAAUGCAUCUUGGAGCACUUGAGAAUCUGUAUAUUGAUGGAUGUGAUGAAUUGAUGUACUUGUGGGAACAAAAAACGGAGGCAUGCAAGAGUUUCGUGAGUUUAAAAAAGUUAGAGAUUCGUAAUUGUAAAAAAUUAGUAUCAUUAUCAUUAUCAUUAUCAUUAGUAGAGAAAGAGAGAGAGGUUAAUUUGGGGAAUACUAUUACUAAUAGCAUGGAAUCUCUUAAAGAAGUGAUAUUUCGUAAUUGUGACACACUCGAGAGUUACAAUUGCUUAAAUAGUGUUGAGAGGUUAGUGAUAAGUUGUUGUCAUUCAUUGACUUCAUUGACCUUCUCAUCUUCUUUCACCAAAACAAUAAGCAGUGAUUGUGUGUUUUGCCUAACAUCUCUUGACAUCCGUAAUUGCAAGAAUCUAAAGUCAUUUCCUUAUGAGCAUUUCCAAAGUCUCACAUCUUUGGAACAACUAUCAAUAUAUGAUUGUCAAAGUAUAGACUACACCUUUCCUUGUGGGUUGUGGCCUCCUAAUUUAAGUAGCCUAGUUAUAGGAUGCUUAAACAAGCCCAUGUCCGAGUGGAGCCCACAGAAUUUUCCAACUUCACUUGUUGAACUACACUUAAAUGGAAAAAAUUCAGGAGUGGUUUCGUUUGUAGUGGAAAAAGACGUGAAGAAUACAACAACUACUUCAUCAUCAUCAUUGUCUUUUCUUCUUCCAAAAUCUCUAGCUUCUUUAACACUUGAUGAUUUUAUGAAUGUGGAAUCAGUUUCAGAGGUUUUACAACACCUCUCGUGCCUUAAACGUCUUCAUAUUAUGUCCUGCCCGAAGCUUAGAGAUCUGCCCGAGAUAAGUUCCACUUCUGACCACCCAUCAUCAUCUUUGACCAUAAAGGUAUGGUGGUGAAAAAGCCUCUAGGAUAACCAAUCAUUGCAGCAGCGAGUUGAAAAACAAGAAAAUAACCGUUUGCAUAAUUUGAAAGAGGCUGUAAAAGUCGGUGCUCUACCAAGGGUAUUAUUGUCAUUUCUGCAAAGCAAAAGAUGAUGAGGACAAGGGUAUUCAUGUCUUUUACAUAAACAAAAGAUAUUGUUCUGUUAUGUCUUGUCACGUAACAAACAGUGCCUAAUAAGAUUCUUGAUGUAGACGAGGGCAUUUACAUCUUUUUCAGUUUUUGUGUUUCCGUGCAAGUCAUGUUCAACUUGCUGCAAUGGCAUUGCCUUUAACCGAACUCAAAGCAUGAAAAGAAAUACAGGAAGCUAAUUUGUGAGUUGGAAAUAGGCUGUGGACAUGUACAAUGCAAAGAGUGACAAGAACCGAAUAAAUUAGCAAGGGGACUCCUCAUCGACCUCAAGUAAAUUGAAAGUGAAGAAAAGCCCAUACAAAAAUAAAAAUAAAAAUAAAAAUGCAUCUUUUAGAAAUCUUCAAGUAAAUAAAAAUCAAUAUAAACACAUUUUGUAAUUAUGUUUAUUGAUUUGAGAUACUUUUUUGGGAGGCGCUACAAUAUAAAUCAAUAUGAUCCUAUAUUUACAACA